Molecule: long non-coding RNA, 602 nt
Organism: Hyla sarda
Lineage: Eukaryota; Metazoa; Chordata; Amphibia; Anura; Hylidae
Exons: 3
Source: RefSeq, a predicted model, not a curated record
ACUAGAGCAGAGCUUGUGCAUGUUUUGUAACAUGAAAAGUUACAAAUUGUAACAUAAUAACAUUGAGACGGUACUUUCUCCACAUGACUCCUAGUGUGUAACCAAAGCUUCAACUCUUCUCUAUUCAAAUAGUAUAGAGAUCUCCUCUGUAGCCAUAACACUGUCCUCAUUCAACCUCGCACACUCACUAGGCCAGUGUUGGUCUUUUUUUUAUUUGCUCUGCUUAUUUAACAGUUUGUUUGCUCAGCAUUACAAUUUGUGCUGACCAGGUUUCUUACAGCAGGCAACAUACAGGACAAAAAGGCCAGCAGGACAAAAAGAUGUUAUGAUGAAACAAAGUGGAUAUCGGCAUCAAAAAGCAGGAGGUGGGACCUGAGCUGGACUCACACAAGCAGUUCCUUUUCCUGCCCAGUGCCACUCUAUUUUAAGUUAUGGACCCGCUCUACUCCGUCGUCCGUGAAGUGGUUAUAUAUAAUUUUGGUAUGCACACUCCUCCUGGAUACAACAGCUCCUCUCGUCCUCCCAUCUUUCUCCUGUGCCACCAUCUUGCCAUCCUCUAUAAGUUUUUUAUGUGUUUUUAUAUGUUAUUUUCAAUAAAGUUA